CAUUAAGUGGCUGAAUUUUAAGCAUUGGUCUCUUAAACCAAAUCAUAGUACAUUGAUAAGUACUCUUAAUGA
This 72-nucleotide transfer RNA is filed under the name Tessaromerus quadriarticulatus. Its description in RNAcentral is "tRNA-Lys". The record is from RNAcentral. Lineage: Eukaryota; Metazoa; Arthropoda; Insecta; Hemiptera; Urostylididae.